Bos taurus (domestic cattle) is the source of this 1934-nucleotide long non-coding RNA. NCBI's taxonomy places the organism in Eukaryota, Metazoa, Chordata, Mammalia, Artiodactyla, Bovidae. The record is from Ensembl.
AGAGGCCUGGACCUGGGGCUUAUUCCUCAAGGGGCCCUGGCUUCACACUGCAAAAUCUUCCUUCUUCAGACCUACACAGCUUUGGCCCCUACUGUACUGGAGUCUCCAGCAGAGUCACUUGGGCGGAGAGUUGCUAGAGAAUUUAUUCUAUAGAGGCUUCAAAUAUCAGCUCUUAAUUGUUUAGGCAUUGCUGCCACAUCUUUUUCUCCUGUGUAACCUAAAUCCCAUGUGUGAGCUCCUUCAGCGUCUCAGAGAUCAAGAAAGAAAGAAAGUCAUCGAGCAAAGUAAAAAGCCCCUACACGGGAGAGCCAGACUAAUUCUCCAUCGCUGAAGAUGGUCAAAGAGGAGGUUUUAUUAGUGCUCUGCAGGUGUUGAAAACAGAUUUCCUUCCUGCAAGAGCCCCACAGGAGCAGCCACCGAGCUCUGGAAACACCGGUGGCCCAACAUGGCCAGGAGAACCCCUGCAGGGAAGAAAGAGAUUGUCUACAUUAUAAAAUGCAAAUAUAAUGUGAAAAAGGUCACGAGGGCGGCUAAGAUGCUGCAGACGCUACCAAUAUACUUGUUUUCCGAUGAAGACUGCCGUUAACAGUGUUUCUAGCACACCUAGAUGUCCACGGACCAAGAAAUCCAGAAAGGCCACGGGCGACAGCACAGCACAACUCAGCCGUGGACAUCUGCCGGCUGCAGAUGGAGCACGGGUCCCGCAGGUGGGGGUAGGAAGAGGAGACGGCGAGUUGAGUGUGGACAGCCCUGUCUUCACAGGCCUUAUCCUUACUGUCUACAGGAUGAUGUGGCAGUCACAUUUCUCCGCGCUUUCACGGUGCUGCCAGAAGCAGCUCUGAUUUUCUUGUCUGACUUUUUCUGCUCAGGUCUGCCACUUGUGAAUGAAGGAUCUUAAGAGCUGUAUUAUUAGUCAGCUACUGCUGCACUGAAGCUCUGUGAAAGACAGCCCUAAAUCUCUCUGCAGUUUACAAUCCUAAACAUUAUGUCCUUGUUUGUGGUUCUCUCAGUCAGCUAAGAUUUGGCUGAUCCAGGCUGGGCCGGACAGGGUCCCAGGUUGCCAGUCUUGUUGCGGUCUGCUUCACAUCACGGGGGUUAUGAUGUCAGAUCACAGAAAUGCAAGGUUCCAGGAACAAACAUGAGCCGGCGAGCCGUACUGUGUGAUGGCGCUCAGAGAAUUCAGCCCACACUGUCUCUUCCACUCAUGUUUUUUUUGGUCAGAGCAAGUCAUACAUGGCCUGGCUCAAGAUCGGUAAGGCAGGGAGGUAAACAGUGCCUACGUGAGUGAGAGAGACUGCCAAGUCACAGGGCAAGGAGGAAAUUCAUGUCAUUCAGAGACAGCAUCCAUAACUGGGAACAGUUAUCUAAUCAGCUAUAAGGAGUUGCCAUUUUCCUCAAAGAGCAAAACCUCACAGUGAGACCUAGAAGGAAGUAGCCUCUUUCCAUGGACUGGAGUUGAUGCCAGCCUGUGGUGCUGAAACCCGUGUCACUGCCCCUGUGUGGUUGGAGCUGAAAUGGCCUUCACUGUAGAGACUUGAUGAGUCUGGUCCCUGGCUUCAGAUAAAUUUUGGGCCUACUGCUUCACAGUCGGUGAAGGAAACGUGCCAUCUUUCUUUGCGGAAUUCUUGCCUGUUUAUUUCCUUCCUCCUGCCCCAGACCCACAGUUGUCAUGCUGCUCCAACCCGCUCGCUGAUAGCUACUCCUGCUCGGCUGCCAGGCCGCUCUGGAGGCCCUCUGCCCUCCCCUCUCAUCUGGCCCAGGGCUGUGAUGCUGCCAAUACUGGCUACAACUCUGGAGCUCAGUGAUGGAUGACAGGCUUGAGGGUGGGCUGAGGGGUUUGUUGCAGGGCCUGUCUUUAGACGUGGAGGCCUUUUUCUCCACUAAGAACCUUUAUAUGUGCCCACCCCCAAAAGAAUCUCACAGACCCAUAGGAC